This is a non-coding RNA of Oryza nivara, 199 nucleotides long. Lineage: Eukaryota; Viridiplantae; Streptophyta; Magnoliopsida; Poales; Poaceae. The record is from Rfam.
CUCCUCCGCAACUAUAAGUUUUCGCAUCUAAUUUUGAUUAUCCGUCUUAUUUGAUUUUUUUAAUUAGUAUUUUUAUUAUUAUGAGAUAUAAAACAUGAAUAGUACUUUACAUGUAAUUUAUGUUUUUAAUUUUUUUUUUAUUUUUUUAAAUAAAACGGACGAUCAGAGUUGUGCACGGAAAAUUAUGAAUGCACUUACA